UCCAGGGUAGCCUAGUGGACAUGUCAUGGGCCGGUAAGCGGAACAUUGUGGGUUCGAUUCCCAUCCCUGGAC
RNAcentral lists this transfer RNA (72 nucleotides) under Cordylochernes scorpioides. Its description in RNAcentral is "tRNA-Leu". It matches the Rfam family "tRNA". From Rfam's summary of the family: Transfer RNA (tRNA) molecules are approximately 80 nucleotides in length. Their secondary structure includes four short double-helical elements and three loops (D, anti-codon, and T loops). Further hydrogen bonds mediate the characteristic L-shaped molecular structure. tRNAs have two regions of fundamental functional importance: the anti-codon, which is responsible for specific mRNA codon recognition, and the 3' end, to which the tRNAs corresponding amino acid is attached (by aminoacyl-tRNA synthetases). tRNAs cope with the degeneracy of the genetic code in two manners: having more than one tRNA (with a specific anti-codon) for a particular amino acid; and 'wobble' base-pairing, i.e. permitting non-standard base-pairing at the 3rd anti-codon position. Lineage: Eukaryota; Metazoa; Arthropoda; Arachnida; Pseudoscorpiones; Chernetidae. The record is from RNAcentral.